UGGAUUUAUGAAAGAUUAACUUCUGCGAAAGCAUCUGCCAAGGAUGUUUUCAUUAAUCAAGAACGAAAGUUAGGGGAUCGAAGACGAUCAGAUACCGUCGUAGUCUUAACCAUAAACGAUGCCGACCAGCGAUUAGGAGACGUUGAAUACAAAACACCACCAUCGGUGCGGUCAUCCUUGGCGUUGGUCUUCAAAAGCCAGCGCGGGGGUGGCUUAGCCCGGUGGCACCGGUGAAUGACUCCCCUAGCAG
RNAcentral lists this ribosomal RNA (250 nucleotides) under Acanthamoeba genotype T4. RNAcentral describes it as "partial 18S ribosomal RNA". It matches the Rfam family "Eukaryotic small subunit ribosomal RNA", at positions 921 to 1086 of the family's 1831-position model. Lineage: Eukaryota; Discosea; Longamoebia; Acanthamoebidae. The record is from RNAcentral.